Molecule: ribosomal RNA, 241 nt
Filed under: uncultured bacterium
Lineage: Bacteria
Description: partial 16S ribosomal RNA
Rfam family: Bacterial small subunit ribosomal RNA
Source: RNAcentral
CGAGUGGCGGACGGGUGAGUAAUGCGUAGGAAUCUACCUAGUUGAGUGGGAUAGCCUAGGGAAACUUAGGGUAAUACCGCAUAAGUCUUACGGGAGAAAGCAGGGGACUGUUAAAGGCCUUGCGCGAUUAGAUGAGCCUACGUCGGAUUAGCUUGUUGGUGGGGUAAAGGCCUACCAAGGCGAUGAUCCGUAGCUGGUCUGAGAGGACGACCAGCCACACUGGGACUGAGACACGGCCCAG